UUUAAGUGCAACCAUAAAUUUUUGUGCCUAAUUUUGAUCGUUCGUCUUAUUUAAUUUUUUUUAUAAUUAAUAUUUUUAUUGUUAUGAAAAACAUGAAUAGUGCUUUAUACAUGACUUAUGUAAAAUUAAAUAUGACUUAUGUAAAAUUAAAUAUGAUGAACGGUCAAAGUUGUGUAAAAAAAUU
Non-coding RNA from Oryza nivara, 184 nucleotides. The record is from Rfam. NCBI's taxonomy places the organism in Eukaryota, Viridiplantae, Streptophyta, Magnoliopsida, Poales, Poaceae.